This is a long non-coding RNA of Hippopotamus amphibius kiboko, 560 nucleotides long. RefSeq lists it as uncharacterized. NCBI's taxonomy places the organism in Eukaryota, Metazoa, Chordata, Mammalia, Artiodactyla, Hippopotamidae. The record is from RefSeq and is a predicted model, not a curated record. The transcript has 3 exons.
CCUGGCGGGUAACAGUACCAUCACUGAUCUGUGAUUCUGAAGCUCUGAAGAUCUGGGCUGGAGGGGUAAACCUCGGACAUCUUGACUGCCUCAGGCUGGAGGGAGUUCACACGGGGCCUGGUACCAGGCAGGAUGCUGGGGCAAGGUGACCAGCACGGGCAAGGUCCUGGCCCUCCAGCAGCUGCCCUGGGCAGAGAAGACGCAGUGGCCACUGCUGCGGGGGGUGGGCAUCAAGCCCAGACUCAGGGGCUCAAGGAGGCUCCUGGGAGGAGGUGACACUUGAGCAGAGCCUUGAAGGACAAGCAGCAGUUUGCCUAAUAGUGGAUGGGGAUUGGCACCAGAAACCCUAAGCUGAGGGGAGAGAGCGCGCAGGAGCUAGUGGAAGCUUGUGUUGAGACGGAAGUUUCAUCAGCCUGGCCCCUGAGUGUCUGUGACAAGCAGAGUCUUCUUGAUGACCCAUUUUGGAUAUGCGGCCUACUAAGAAAGAAAUCUUGUUAAUGAUGGCGCUGAGAUCUGGAUUCAAUCUACUCACAAUGCCUUUGUUGCUUUGGUAUCAGGGU